GUGUGUUUAAGACUUCCCCCUCUGUCUCUGUCACUUUGUCUGCUCUGUUUCCUCACGACGGUCCUGGUCCUCCGGCCCGUCGUCCUCGCUGCUCCUCUGAGUUUUCCCUCAAUAAUCUCCUAAUUACUCCAAAAAACAGCCACGUGGGUCGUCAUCGGGGCUCCAGCCAAUCAGAGGCAACCACACGACCCAGACUCGACACAGUCCAGCUGAGAGCCUGAAACCAGAAGAUGUGACAGUUUUUGUCUGAAAUGAGACAAAGAGGCAGAAUCAGCACCGGGCCUCCUGCUUUCACACGUCCACAGCGCCAUCAAGUGGACUCCAACCCGCCACUGCAGACGCACCGAGGGCCCACAUCUGUAUUCACCUGCAGCGAUGACAUCCAGACAGUUUCCUGAAAUAAGAUCCCACGAGGGAAACUGGAACAAGCGCCAGUUUUUUUUGACGACCUGUGAAGGAAACUCAGAGAUGAUCAAUGAUCAGAUAUCCGUCUCUACGGCAGUAAAGUGCGAUGUGUCGUUCCUUCUGGCCUGUAACCCAAAAUGAAAUGUCUGCUUGGCUCUCCAAAGUAAAAAGCUUGAUGACAAAUAUUACUGACAAAAUAUUUUUGGACUCAACUCUCAAAAAAUGAUGCUCACACACGUCUUCACCUUCUUAUCAUCUUCACCUUCUGCUCGUACAAACAGUCCAAUAAUCUCACAAUCAUUCAAAAUGAUUUUUUCCACCGUAUGAAAAUAUUUUUGGCUCCUUCUGCUGCAGAGUUACAGGAAAAAAAGGCAUUCAGUCCUUUUUAAAGAUCUUUUUUAUUAACGAUACGUUUCCACCAGUGAAGUCGUUACAAAAACUAAACGUGAUCUCGAACAAACAAACACAUUCGUUCAGGUAUGUUACAGCUGCUUUGUGGAACAGAGUGCUGUGAAACUUUUUUUUAUCAAAUGCUCUGAUUACAGGGAGGCACUUUCAUUAUUCACAGCCCGUCCGUGUUUGGAUUGCACCAUCGCUGUAGAUUAUUUAGAGACAGAUUGGGGAGUUUCACAGAGGAGGUGUGGACGGCAGCCCACACAUUCCUCCUCAGUCACACACUAUUAAAGUUCAAAGUGUUGCAUAACGCGUCUUCACUUAUCAAGUAUGUAAAAAUAUGAAUCCAGCAUACGAUUAAAUGUUCUGGCACUCAACGAUAAACUGUGGAAGGUGUUUCUGCUCCACCUGCAGCUGGAAAACUUCACAUUUUCAUUGACAGCUCUGCUAAACUUUCAUACAUCACGUCUGGAGCGUUUGGCCGCCGAGCGGCUCCUGGGACGGUCUGCAGUACCACAUCUGUUUUCUUUUUUAGUGUCUGUUCAUCCUGUCAGAUAUCUGCCCUGUUUGACCUUCAUCCUGUUUGUUUUGAGCUACAGAAGUCGUGUUCAGUCACGACUGUGAAUUACAGUUUUAUCAUGAGGAAUUUAUAAGAAUGACAUUCUGCUGCUGUUUGAUUAAUGGAGCUUCAUCAGCACUUCUCCUUUUCUGAUAGAGCUGACGGGAGGAGCAGUUUGUACCACCGCUGCUUUAGUUAUUUAUUUGGCAUGUAUGACUUUAUCAAGAGGACAGUUCAGAAGUUACAGGAGGAACGUGGACCGAGCGCCUCACCACCUGAGCUACCUCUGACCACAAGACAAGCACAUCAUCAGACACAUGUGAUGGAAAGACAAAGUCCUGCUGCUCUGGACUGAUGUGCCGAGUCAAACCGAGCAGAACCGGGCCGACAGAUGUGAUUAAAAAGAAGACGUUUAAACACUAGAAACAAAGCACAGCGGACCGUCUGACAUCCUGCUCGCCUGUUUUCUUUCCUUUUCUUUCAUAAAUAAUAAAUCUUCUUCGUCUGAAUUCACCUUCAUGCCAAGUGGAGUUUUUACAUAUUCGUGCAGUUUGCGCUGCAGUCGUGAGUCACAACCUUCGCUUCGACCUCGGGCAGUAAAAAAAAAAAACAGAAACUCCAAAUAACUAAAUCUCCCUGGCUCAUGCAAACUAGCGUCUCUUUGUGUAGAGAUGAAAAAGCAGAUGUGCUGACUUCCCCAUAAAAAAAUAUCCAUUUGUUUUUGUCCCUGAGGUUUAAUACAUAAAAAGGUGUCACACUUGCAAAUGUGGAGACUCCAGAGUUUAUUCUUGUUUUAUAUAAAAUAAAAAUGCUGUUCUGUAAAAAGUUAUCUCACGAUCUUGUGGUGAAAACGUUGAUCUGAACGUGAACUUCUCUAAAAUUUGCAACUAACGAUCAACUCGUCAAUCUCAGGUGUCGAUCGAACACUUCUGUUUAAACACGGCUGACUUCUUCUUUCAGUUCCCGGUAAUUUCCAGCACUGAUAGAACUUCAAUUUAAAUGUUUUAUACAAUCUUCAGCUGUAAGUUUUAACUCUCAAA
Acanthopagrus latus (yellowfin seabream) is the source of this 2397-nucleotide long non-coding RNA. RefSeq lists it as uncharacterized. Lineage: Eukaryota; Metazoa; Chordata; Actinopteri; Spariformes; Sparidae. The record is from RefSeq and is a predicted model, not a curated record. The transcript has 5 exons.